UCUACUAAAGGAAAACAGCCUUCCAUUGGUCUUAGGCACCAAGUCCCU
This 48-nucleotide transfer RNA is filed under the name Uropeltis myhendrae (Boulenger's earth snake). RNAcentral's name for it is "partial tRNA-Leu". Lineage: Eukaryota; Metazoa; Chordata; Lepidosauria; Squamata; Uropeltidae. The record is from RNAcentral.